GUACGAGAAGGUCAGACGACAAGCAUGGAUAAUUGCAGUGCGCCGAGUCAAUGCUGAUGACACUCCCUGGGAGCCAUCCAAAAGCAUGCGAAUUUACAAAAACAAGCAGGCUUUGCGAAGCAAAGACAUCGAUAACGCUUGCCGUUGUUCGCUGACAGCUCCGCGCAAAUCAGAACGAACACAAACGUGUAAUUUACUAAUGCUCCAGCCAAGAAAUUUAGCAGCAAAAGGGGGAAGCACAAAAUGAGAGCAGCCGUGUGCGUGCACUCAGCCACCGAGGAAACUAACGGCAAUCGUCACCGUCCCUCCACAUCUCUGCAAGUAUGCAUGACCGCUUUGUGCCUGCAUCAUAUAGAAAUAAAGUGGCUAAACUUCUGAA
Molecule: long non-coding RNA, 379 nt
Organism: Dermacentor andersoni
Lineage: Eukaryota; Metazoa; Arthropoda; Arachnida; Ixodida; Ixodidae
Source: RefSeq, a predicted model, not a curated record